Humulus lupulus (European hop) is the source of this 106-nucleotide small nucleolar RNA. The record is from RefSeq and is a predicted model, not a curated record. NCBI's taxonomy places the organism in Eukaryota, Viridiplantae, Streptophyta, Magnoliopsida, Rosales, Cannabaceae.
UAGUCAUGGUGCAAGCACUAAUUCAACAGAUCCUUGAAUCAUUCCCAGAAUUGAUAGAAUGUUUCAUUGUCCUUUUGGGAAAAUAUAGAAAUUUUCUUUUACACUG